GUACUAACUUUGAGGAACCAUGAUUCCUGAUGCAAGCUGAAGUUAAAGUGAACAACAUGUUAUCAGUUUUUAUGUCUCAGCCAACUAAUGUAUGUACUUAAUGAUUCUGAUUAAUAGUCCUGUAGCAUUUCCAGCAACUGUUAGGAAAUUUAAAUGAAUACAUGUAAAUAUACUUCAGUGUACAAAUAUAAAAUUUAUAAUUCAGUAUAAAAUUUAAAAUUUCUUUCUUUGUAAUAGUUGUAAGCUUAUAAUUCUAGUCGCACUAGAAAGUUUGUGCAUGGAGCAUCAUGAUGAUCUGCUCUUCUUUGCUGUUGUAAUUACAGCCUUUAAAGACAGAGUUCAGAGCUGGGGAGGGAGGGGUCCCGUGCUCCAGUACUGAUGACCUGAGUUCAACCCUGAAUCCACAUGGUGGGAGGAGAGAACCAACUUCCCACGUUUAUUCCGUGGUACACAGGCAACACCUACACACAUUCAAGUGCAGUCACACACAGGCCUGCACACACUAAUCUCUUAUCUCUCUAUUUUGCUAUUGCAAAGCAGCAGACUUUAACCUAAUUUAUCCAUUUUAAGUAAGUGGUAUAAUAGAAGUGGGUUGGUUAUAUUGGUAUUUUUAAAAAAACUUUAAUAUCUCUUAAUUUGCAUUUUAUUAAUGAUUCCAUGAUAACAUACUUUCUUUUUUGAAUUAAUAGAAAAAUCAGUUAAGACUUGUGCUCAAGAGCCAUUCCUACCACAUUGAACUCACAUUAAGACUCUUUUUCAGUAUUUUAAGUUUUUUAGUGUCAUUUCAUCAUUGGUGAGCCAAUAAUAAAAUCCUACCUACCUAACAAGUUAUGAUCAUCAGUAUGAUCACCUGGACAAAACAUGUUCUCUUCAGGCACUCCUGAAAAACUCCUGGGAGUGUUUCUCAGUCAAUAGAGUAUUUUCCUAGGAUACACAAAACCCUGAUUUUAUCCCAGCACCACAUAAAAGCCAACUAUGGUGAUGCACGCCUAUAAUCCCAGCACUCCAGAAGAAAAGACAGCAGAAUGGGAUGUUGAAAUUAUCCUGUAUUUGUCAGGCAUGAUGGGGUGUACCUUUGGUCCCAGCAGAGAUAGGUAGACUCUGAGUCCGAGGCCAUCCUGGUCUGUCUACAGAGUGAGUUCCAAAAAGUAAGGCCUGUAAGGAGAAACCCUGUCUUAAAGAA
Molecule: long non-coding RNA, 1183 nt
Filed under: Mus musculus (house mouse)
Lineage: Eukaryota; Metazoa; Chordata; Mammalia; Rodentia; Muridae
Description: long non-coding RNA chr9:96011659-96012842
Source: RNAcentral